RNAcentral lists this ribosomal RNA (253 nucleotides) under uncultured bacterium. RNAcentral's name for it is "partial 16S ribosomal RNA". It matches the Rfam family "Bacterial small subunit ribosomal RNA", at positions 524 to 776 of the family's 1533-position model. The record is from RNAcentral.
GACAGAGGAUGCAAGCGUUAUCCGGAAUGAUUGGGCGUAAAGCGUCUGUAGGUGGCUUUUUAAGUCCGCCGUCAAAUCCCAGGGCUCAACCCUGGACAGGCGGUGGAAACUACCAAGCUGGAGUACGGUAGGGGCAGAGGGAAUUUCCGGUGGAGCGGUGAAAUGCGUAGAUAUGCGGAGGAACACCGAUGGCGAAGGCAAUCCCCUGGGCCUGCACUGACGCUCAUGCACGAAAGCGUGGGGAGCAAACAGG